This 323-nucleotide ribosomal RNA is filed under the name uncultured eukaryote. RNAcentral describes it as "partial 18S ribosomal RNA". It matches the Rfam family "Eukaryotic small subunit ribosomal RNA", at positions 1470 to 1796 of the family's 1831-position model. The record is from RNAcentral.
CCCUUAGAUGUUCUGGGCCGCACGCGCGCUACACUGAUACGUUCAACAAGUUCCUUGGCCGAAAGGUCUGGGUAAUCUUUGAAACCGUAUCGUGAUGGGGAUAGAACAUUGCAAUUAUUGUUCUUCAACGAGGAAUGCCUAGUAAGCGCGAGUCAUCAACUCGCGUUGAUUACGUCCCUGCCCUUUGUACACACCGCCCGUCGCUCCUACCGAUUGAAUGGUCCGGUGAAGCGUUCGGACCGUGGCCUUUGGACGGUUCGCCGUCUGUUGGCUGCGGGAAGUUCGUUAAACCUUAUCAUUUAGAGGAAGGAGAAGUCGUAACA